Molecule: ribosomal RNA, 439 nt
Filed under: uncultured bacterium
Lineage: Bacteria
Description: partial 16S ribosomal RNA
Rfam family: Bacterial small subunit ribosomal RNA
Source: RNAcentral
CCUACGGGAGGCAGCAGUAGGGAAUAUUGCUCAAUGGGGGAAACCCUGAAGCAGCAACGCCGCGUGGAGGAUGAAGGUUUUCGGAUUGUAAACUCCUUUUGUUAGAGAAGAUAAUGACGGUAUCUAACGAAUAAGCACCGUCUAACUCCGUGCAAGCAGCAGCGGUAAUACGGAAGGCUCGGGCGUUAUCCGGAGUUAUUGGGUUAAAGGGGUGCGCAGGCGGAAGAUCAAGUCAGCGGUAAAAUUGAGAGGCUAAACCUCUUCGAGCCGUUGAAACUGGUUUUCUUGAGUGAGUGAGAAGUAUGCGGAAUGCGUGGUGUAGCGGUGAAAUGCAUAGAUAUCACGCAGAACUCCGAUUGCGAAGGCAGCAUACCGGCGCUCAACUGACGCUCAUGCACGAAAGUGUGGGUAUCGAACAGGAUUAGAUACCCGAGUAGUC